UUCCGGUUGAUCCUGCCGGAGGCGACCGCUUUUGGAGUUCGAUUAAGCCAUGCGAGUAGAAAGAAAUUAGAUUCUUUGCGAACUGCUCAGUAACACGUGGAUAACCUGCCCUAUGCUCCGGAAUAACCUCGGGAAACUGAGAAUAAUACCGGAUAGAUCACAACGCCUGGAACGGUGUGUGGUUGAAAGAUUACGGCAUAGGAUGGGUCUGCGGCGUAUCAGGUUGUAGGGGGUGUAAAGGACCUCCUAGCCAUCGACGCGUACGGGUGUUGGGAGACAUAGCCCGGAGAUGGAUUCUGAGACACGAAUCCAGACCCUACGGGGUGCCGCAGGCGCGAAAACUUCACACUGCAGGAAACUGUGAUGAGGGAACUCCAAGUGCACGCACUUAGUGUGUGCUUUUUUCAACUAUUAAUCGGUUGAAGAAUAAGGGCUGGGAAAGACCGGUGCCAGCCGCCGCGGUAAUACCGGCAGCUCAAGUGGUCGUCGCUUUUAUUGGGCCUAAAACGUCCGUAGCCUGUUUGGUAAAUCUGUGGGUAAAUCAACCAGCUUAACUGGUUGAAUUCUGCAGAGACUGCCAGACUAGGGACCGGGAGAGGUGUGGGGUACUCUAGGGGUAGGGGUAAAAUCCUGUCAUCCUUAGAGGACCACCAGUUGCGAAGGCGCCACACUGGAACGGAUCCGACGGUCAGGGACGAAGCCUAGGGGCACGAACCGGAUUAGAUACCCGGGUAGUCCUAGGUGUAAACGCUGUGAACUUGGUGUCGGGGAUCCGUCAUGGGUCCCCGGUGCCGGAGUGAAGAUGUUAAGUUCACUGCCUGGGGAGUACGGUCGCAAGGCUGAAACUUAAAGGAAUUGGCGGGGGAGCACUGCAACGGGAGGAGCGUGCGGUUUAAUUGGAUCAACGCCGGA
This 912-nucleotide ribosomal RNA is filed under the name uncultured archaeon. Its description in RNAcentral is "bacterial SSU rRNA". It matches the Rfam family "Archaeal small subunit ribosomal RNA", at positions 1 to 922 of the family's 1478-position model. The record is from RNAcentral.